Molecule: ribosomal RNA, 373 nt
Filed under: uncultured organism
Description: partial 16S ribosomal RNA
Rfam family: Bacterial small subunit ribosomal RNA
Source: RNAcentral
GUAGGUGGCAAGCGUUGUCCGGAAUUAUUGGGCGUAAAGCGCGCGCAGGCGGUUCUUUAAGUCUGAUGUGAAAGCCCACGGCUCAACCGUGGAGGGUCAUUGGAAACUGGAGAACUUGAGUACAGAAGAGGAAAGCGGAAUUCCACGUGUAGCGGUGAAAUGCGUAGAGAUGUGGAGGAACACCAGUGGCGAAGGCGGCUUUCUGGUCUGUAACUGACGCUGAGGCGCGAAAGGCGUGGGGAGCAAACAGGAUUAGAUACCCUGGUAGUCCACGCCGUAAACGAUGAGUGCUAAGUGUUAGGGGGUUUCCGCCCCCCUUAGUGCUGCAGCUAACGCAUUAAGCACUCCGCCUGGGAGUACGGCCGCAAGGCUG